Herpailurus yagouaroundi (jaguarundi) is the source of this 2183-nucleotide long non-coding RNA. RefSeq lists it as uncharacterized. The transcript has 2 exons. The record is from RefSeq and is a predicted model, not a curated record. Lineage: Eukaryota; Metazoa; Chordata; Mammalia; Carnivora; Felidae.
CCGAAGUCGGACGUUUAACCGACUGAGCCACUCAGGCGCCCCUAUAAUAACGUAUUUCUUAUAAAAUAACAAAAAGGAACUUAUAGAUUGCAGCCAACACUGUGCUUAUAAUUAAAUUCGUACACUUAAAGGUUUCAUUAUAAAGUUUUUUUUUUUUUUAAAGCAAAGCAAAUAUACUAAACAAGUUAUCAAGAGGAGGGGGCCUUAAGGAAAUCUAUUCAUGAAUAAGGAGAUGUUAGAACAUACAUUAAAUAAUGGACAGGAAGCUCAAAAACCUCAAUGGUAUUUAUAUUAGUGAAAAACUAGAUGUAAUCUAAACAACAGAAAACUGUAUUGAUUUUAGUGAGAAUUUCCAGUUAGAUUUCUUCUGUGAUUAAAAAUCAUAUUUACACAUAUUUUAACGCAACGCUACAAAGUCUUUAAAUAAAAAGGUGGCAUAUAAAAUUUUAUACAUUAAGUAAUACCAACCGUGUGAAAACAAAAAGAGAAAACACUUAAACAUAGAAAAACCACAGUUACAUCUACAGGUUAAAACAUGGAUAACAUUUUUUAACAUUUUUCUAGAUUUUCCCUAUUUUGUAAAACGGGUAAUUCAUUACUUCGAUAAUCAAGGAGAAAAUCACACUAUUUUUAAACUGAGUGCCCAGUAUGAGAAUGCAGCUCUCACCUUUUCUUUUUUAAACUGAAGUAUAAAUGACAUAUAACAUUAUGUUGGUUUGAGGAGCACAACAACAAUUUGACAUUUGUACACAUUACAAAGUGAUCACCACAGUGAAGUCUCGUUAAACAUCCAUUACCACACACAGUGACAAAAUAUUUUUUCUUAUAAUGAAGACUUUUAAGAUCUACUCUCUUAGCAACUUUCAAAUAUGCAGUACAAUAUUAUUACCUACAGUUCACCAGGCUGUACAUUAAAUCUUCAGGACUUAUUUAUGACUGGAAGUUUAUAUUUUCUGACCCUCUUCACCCAUUUCAACCACCCUCCAACCCCCACUUCUGGCCACCACCAAGCUGUUCCUUGUAUCUAUGCAGCUCUCGCCAUUCAUAUUAACACUACUCAAGCUCCUACUUCUGCUUUAAGUACUAUUAAUUAUGCCUGGACAUUUAGGGGAAAAAUUGAGCUUGUUACUCAGAUUGUUAAAAACAGAAAACUGAACUUGAAUAAUUUACAGAACAAGAAACAUGUUAUUUUCAAGUUUGCUGAGAUCAGUGAUCAGUAACUGUCCUGUGCCUACUAAGUCAGUGCUACAUUUCAAACCACUCCCACUGAAACCCAGUUAAACCUACACAUCCCUCCAUGACACUGGCUCUCACAAAGAGCUACACGAUCAGGACUUCCCAUGUGACUCUUCAAUACAGCUUAUGGAGCUAUUUUUCCGUCAAGAUGCCAAAUGUAAAAAUAAGCCCAGCUAUUUGGAAGCUGUCAUGUUUUAUUCGAAACAUUAUGAUUUCCCUAUAAAUCUGUGAUUUCUAAAGUCUGAGGAGAUUUGAGGCAUUCAUUCUUAAAUGUAAUAUUGCCUGUAUCUUGGUGUCAUGGCUUUUCAUCUAGAUGAGUAUCUCUCUGCGUUUAUAAAGAAAAUAUAAAUGAAAAUCAAUUCAGUAUCCAAAAAUUCAGGUGACACGGAAUUUCGAGGAUGCGUCUAUUCUAUAAAGUAAGAUUAUGCCUUUUUGUUUUGGGUCUCUAUGAUGAAAGAAUUCUAGAACAGUAGUUAUCCUUGCCUCAUACACUAAUUGAAAGCACAGGGAUCUCUCAGAGGGUACUUUCUGUUUCUGCACCAGAGCUCCUCCAAAAACCGUCACAACGGCAGCAAAUUAAACCAGGGGAGCUUGAGAUGCCGGGGCAUUGUGAACAGGGCCAAGACUGUCCCAAGCUGACUUCAUGUGGUUUCUACCUCGCUAAAGAACGUUUCUGCUGAGCUUUCUACUCUUCAUUCACUCCAAUUAAACUGCAGUGAUUCACCAGUUAUUACCACCACAGGCAUACACGUGUUGAAGAGAAGAUCAUGAUUAUAAUCUGCACAAUUACCGACGGCUAGAUAGCAUGCCUACACACGGUGUUUUGAAAAACAGCUUCAUUUCCGAUGGAGAUCAGGACAGCAAUAAAAGAGUUCCACAGUCUCUUCACUAAAUACAUCUUUGUUUGCAUGGUCUGUGUAUACUGUCAUGGGGCAGGUGCGGGAAAA